GUUAUGGUGGUCUAGUGGUUAGAGCGUCCGCCUCGGAGGCGGGAGGUCGUGGGCUCGAUCCCCGGUCGAGUCAUACA
Potamilus streckersoni is the source of this 77-nucleotide non-coding RNA. NCBI's taxonomy places the organism in Eukaryota, Metazoa, Mollusca, Bivalvia, Unionida, Unionidae. The record is from the annotation of a GenBank genome assembly.